UACGAGCCACACAAACGUUAUUCGGAAUUACUGGGCUUAAAGGGUGCGUAGGCGGCGCGGAAAGUGGGGUGUGAAAGCCCUCGGCUCAACCGAGGAAUUGCGCUCCAAACUACCGUGCUUGAGUGAGACAGAGGUAAGCGGAACUUCGGGUGGAGCGGUGAAAUGCGUUGAUAUCCGAAGGAACACCGGUGGCGAAAGCGGCUUACUGGGUCUCAACUGACGCUGAUGCACGAAAGCCAGGGUAGCAAACGGG
This 253-nucleotide ribosomal RNA is filed under the name uncultured bacterium. RNAcentral's name for it is "partial 16S ribosomal RNA". It matches the Rfam family "Bacterial small subunit ribosomal RNA", at positions 524 to 776 of the family's 1533-position model. The record is from RNAcentral.